Molecule: ribosomal RNA, 496 nt
Filed under: uncultured bacterium
Lineage: Bacteria
Description: partial 16S ribosomal RNA
Rfam family: Bacterial small subunit ribosomal RNA
Source: RNAcentral
AUGAACGCUGGCGGCGUGCCUAAUACCUGCAAGUCGAGCGCACAGACGAGGAGCUUGCUCCUCUGACGUUAGCGGCGGACGGGUGAGUAACACGUGGAUAACCUACCUAUAAGACUGGGAUAACUUCGGGAAACCGGAGCUAAUACCGGAUAAUAUAUUGAACCGCAUGGUUCAAUAGUGAAAGACGGUUUUGCUGUCACUUAUAGAUGGAUCCGCGCCGCAUUAGCUAGUUGGUAAGGUAACGACUUACCAAGGCAACGAUGCGUAGCCGACCUGAGAGGGUGAUCGGCCACACUGGAACUGAGACACGGUCCAGACUCCUACGGGAGGCAGCAGUAGGGAAUCUUCCGCAAUGGGCGAAAGCCUGACGGAGCAACGCCGCGUGAGUGAUGAAGGUCUUCGGAUCGUAAAACUCUGUUAUUAGGGAAGAACAAAUGUGUAAGUAACUAUGCACGUCUUGACGGUACCUAAUCAGAAAGCCACGGCUAACUACGUG